UACAGAGGGUGCGAGCGUUGUCCGGAAUCACUGGGCGUAAAGGGCGCGUAGGCGGCGCGUUAAGCGUGCGGUGAAAGCCCGGGGCUCAACCCCGGGUCGGCCGUGCGGACUGCCGGGCUGGAGCACUGUAGAGGCAGGUGGAAUUCCGGGUGUAGCGGUGGAAUGCGUAGAGAUCCGGAAGAACACCGGUGGCGAAGGCGGCCUGCUGGGCAGUAGCUGACGCUGAAGCGCGACAGCGUGGGGAGCAAACAGG
RNAcentral lists this ribosomal RNA (253 nucleotides) under uncultured bacterium. RNAcentral describes it as "partial 16S ribosomal RNA". It matches the Rfam family "Bacterial small subunit ribosomal RNA", at positions 524 to 776 of the family's 1533-position model. The record is from RNAcentral.